AGUAGUACGAGGAAGGUGGGGAUGACGUCAAAUCAUCAUGGCCCUUACGGCCUGGGCUACACACGUGCUACAAUGGUCGGUACAAAGGGUUGCCAAGCCGCGAGGUGGAGCUAAUCCCAUAAAACCGAUCGUAGUCCGGAUCGCAGUCUGCAACUCGACUGCGUGAAGUCGGAAUCGCUAGUAAUCGUGAAUCAGAAUGUCACGGUGAAUACGUUCCCGGGCCUU
Molecule: ribosomal RNA, 225 nt
Filed under: uncultured Pseudomonas sp.
Lineage: Bacteria; Pseudomonadati; Pseudomonadota; Gammaproteobacteria; Pseudomonadales; Pseudomonadaceae
Description: partial 16S ribosomal RNA
Rfam family: Bacterial small subunit ribosomal RNA
Source: RNAcentral